UACGGAGGGUGCGAGCGUUAUCCGGAAUUACUGGGUUUAAAGGGUGCGUAGGCGGCUUGGUAAGUCAGGAGUGAAAGUUUGCGGCUCAACCGUAAAAUUGCUUUUGAUACUGCCGGGCUGGAAUCAGGAUGAGGUCAGCGGAAUGUGGCAUGUAGCGGUGAAAUGCAUAGAUAUGCCAUAGAACACCAAUUGCGAAGGCAGCUGGCUAGACCUGUAUUGACGCUGAGGCACGAAAGCGUGGGGAGCGAACAGG
This 253-nucleotide ribosomal RNA is filed under the name uncultured bacterium. Its description in RNAcentral is "partial 16S ribosomal RNA". It matches the Rfam family "Bacterial small subunit ribosomal RNA", at positions 524 to 776 of the family's 1533-position model. The record is from RNAcentral.